CCUACGGGAGGCAGCAGUGGGGAAUAUUGCACAAUGGGGGAAACCCUGAUGCAGCGACGCCGCGUGAGUGAGGAAGUAUUUCGGUAUGUAAAGCUCUAUCAGCAGGGAAGAAAAUGACGGUACCUGACUAAGAAGCCCCGGCUAACUACGUGCCAGCAGCCGCGGUAAUACGUAGGGGGCAAGCGUUAUCCGGAUUUACUGGGUGUAAAGGGAGCGUAGACGGUUAAUCAAGUCAGAAGUGAAAACCCAGGGCUCAACCCCAUCCAGCCGUUGAAACUGGGGAUCUAGAGUGUGCGAGAGGUAUGCGGAAUGCGUGGUGUAGCGGUGAAAUGCAUAGAUAUCACGCAGAACCCCGAUUGCGAAGGCAGCAUACCGGUGCACAACUGACGCUCAGGCACGAAAGCGUGGGUAUCGAACAGGAUUAGAUACCCCUGUAGUC
This 439-nucleotide ribosomal RNA is filed under the name uncultured bacterium. Its description in RNAcentral is "partial 16S ribosomal RNA". It matches the Rfam family "Bacterial small subunit ribosomal RNA", at positions 338 to 795 of the family's 1533-position model. The record is from RNAcentral.